GGUGGGGUAGUUUAAAAAAAUAUAAGUUUGUCAAUCUUAAGAUGUCUUUAUGAUUCCUGCCU
RNAcentral lists this transfer RNA (62 nucleotides) under Paratapes textilis (textile venus clam). Its description in RNAcentral is "Paphia textile (textile venus clam) tRNA-Asp". The record is from RNAcentral. Lineage: Eukaryota; Metazoa; Mollusca; Bivalvia; Venerida; Veneridae.